RNAcentral lists this transfer RNA (77 nucleotides) under Gammaproteobacteria bacterium. RNAcentral's name for it is "tRNA-Val". It matches the Rfam family "tRNA". Rfam says of the family: Transfer RNA (tRNA) molecules are approximately 80 nucleotides in length. Lineage: Bacteria; Pseudomonadati; Pseudomonadota; Gammaproteobacteria. The record is from RNAcentral.
GGGCGCGUAGCUCAGUUGGUCAGAGCGCCGUCUUCACAUGGCGGAAGUCGCUGGUUCGAAUCCAGCCGCGCCCACCA